Apaloderma vittatum (bar-tailed trogon) is the source of this 82-nucleotide non-coding RNA. The record is from Rfam. Lineage: Eukaryota; Metazoa; Chordata; Aves; Trogoniformes; Trogonidae.
UGCCACAAUGAUGACACUUAUUUGCUACUCUUGACCAAAAGAAUGAUGAGCAUUUUUACCACCAUUACUUUCUUCUGAGGCA